UACGAAGGGGGCUAGCGUUGCUCGGAAUCACUGGGCGUAAAGCGCACGUAGGCGGAUCUUUAAGUCAGGGGUGAAAUCCCAAGGCUCAACCUUGGAACUGCCUUUGAUACUGGGGAUCUCGAGUCCGGAAGAGGUUGGUGGAACUGCGAGUGUAGAGGUGAAAUUCGUAGAUAUUCGCAAGAACACCAGUGGCGAAGGCGGCCAACUGGUCCGGUACUGACGCUGAGGUGCGAAAGCGUGGGGAGCAAACAGG
Molecule: ribosomal RNA, 253 nt
Filed under: uncultured bacterium
Lineage: Bacteria
Also listed under: 2 other names
Description: partial 16S ribosomal RNA
Rfam family: Bacterial small subunit ribosomal RNA
Source: RNAcentral